CAGCAGCCACGGUAAUACGUGGGGGGCAAGCGUUGUUCGGAAUUAUUGGGCGUAAAGGGUGCGUAGGCGGUUUCGUAAGUCUGAUGUGAAAUCUAUGGGCUCAACUCAUAGUCUGCAUCGGAAACUGCGAGGCUUGAGAGUGGGAGAGGUGAGUGGAAUUUCCGGUGUAGCGGUGAAAUGCGUAGAUAUCGGAAGGAACACCUGUGGCGAAAGCGGCUCACUGGACCAUUUCUGACGCUGAUGCACGAAAGCUAGGGGAGCAAACAGGAUUAGAUACCCCCGUAGUCCCUGUCUCUUAUAA
Molecule: ribosomal RNA, 301 nt
Filed under: uncultured bacterium
Lineage: Bacteria
Description: partial 16S ribosomal RNA
Rfam family: Bacterial small subunit ribosomal RNA
Source: RNAcentral